RNAcentral lists this ribosomal RNA (531 nucleotides) under uncultured Leuconostoc sp. RNAcentral describes it as "bacterial SSU rRNA". It matches the Rfam family "Bacterial small subunit ribosomal RNA", at positions 69 to 586 of the family's 1533-position model. The record is from RNAcentral. Lineage: Bacteria; Bacillati; Bacillota; Bacilli; Lactobacillales; Lactobacillaceae.
GCGAAAGGUGCUUGCACCUUUCAAGUGAGUGGCGAACGGGUGAGUAACACGUGGAUAACCUACCUCAAGGUUGGGGAUAACAUUUGGAAACAGAUGCUAAUACCGAAUAAAACUUCGUAUCGCAUGAUACAAGGUUAAAAGGCGCUACGGCGUCACCUAGAGAUGGAUCCGCGGUGCAUUAGUUAGUUGGUGGGGUAAAGGCCUACCAAGACAAUGAUGCAUAGCCGAGUUGAGAGACUGAUCGGCCACAUUGGGACUGAGACACGGCCCAAACUCCUACGGGAGGCUGCAGUAGGGAAUCUUCCACAAUGGACGAAAGCCUGAUGGAGCAACGCCGCGUGUGUGAUGAAGGCUUUCGGGUCGUAAAGCACUGUUGUAUGGGAAGAACAGCUAGAGUAGGGAAUGACUUUAGUUUGACGGUACCAUACCAGAAAGGGACGGCUAAAUACGUGCCAGCAGCCGCGGUAAUACGUAUGUCCCGAGCGUUAUCCGGAUUUAUUGGGCGUAAAGCGAGCGCAGACGGUUGAUUAA